UUCCAGGGGCGGGAAUCGAACCCACGACCUUCCGCUUACCGGGCAGAUGACAUGUCCACUAGGCUACCCUGGA
Cordylochernes scorpioides is the source of this 73-nucleotide non-coding RNA. The record is from the annotation of a GenBank genome assembly. NCBI's taxonomy places the organism in Eukaryota, Metazoa, Arthropoda, Arachnida, Pseudoscorpiones, Chernetidae.